GAUGAACGCUGGCGGCGUGCUUAAUACAUGCAAGUCGAGCGAACAGACGAGGCGUUUGCUCCUCUGUCGUUUGCCGCGCACGGGUGUGUAACAUGUGGAUAAUCUCCUUAUAUGUCUGGGAUAAUUUCGGGAAUCCGGCGCUUAUACCGGAUAAUAUAUUGAUCCGUAUGGUUCAAUAGUGAAAGUCGGCUUUGCUGUCUCUUAUAGCUGGUUCCGCGCCGCUUUAGCUAGUUGGUAAGGUAACGGCUUAUCACGGCUACGAUGCGUAGCCGAACUGAGAGAGUGGUCGGCCACACGAGAACUGGGACGCGGACCAGACUCCUACGAGAGGCAGCAGUAGGGAAUCUUCCGCAAUAGGCGAAAGCUUGGCGGAGCAGCGCCGCGUGAGAGGUGAAGGUCUUCGGAUCGUAAAACUCUGUUAUUGGGGAAAAACAAAUGUGUAAGUAGCUAUGCACGUCUUGACGGUACCGAAUCAGAAAGCCACGGCUAACUACGUG
This 497-nucleotide ribosomal RNA is filed under the name uncultured bacterium. Its description in RNAcentral is "partial 16S ribosomal RNA". It matches the Rfam family "Bacterial small subunit ribosomal RNA", at positions 28 to 507 of the family's 1533-position model. The record is from RNAcentral.